This 868-nucleotide ribosomal RNA is filed under the name uncultured archaeon. RNAcentral describes it as "bacterial SSU rRNA". It matches the Rfam family "Archaeal small subunit ribosomal RNA", at positions 1 to 878 of the family's 1478-position model. The record is from RNAcentral.
CUCCGGUUGAUCCCGCCGGACCCGACUGCUAUCAGAGUGAGAUUAAGCCAUGCGAGUUAACGUAGCAAUACGUGGCGCACGGCUCAGUAACACGUAGUCAACAUGCCCAGAGGACGUGGAUAACCUCGGGAAACUGAGUCUAAACCGCGAUAAGUGAGGAUUUCUGGAAUGGUUCCUGACUAAAAUCUAUAUGGCCUCUGGAUUGGACUGCGGCCGAUCAGGCUGUUGGUGAGGUAAUGGCCCACCAAACCUGUAACCGGUACGGGCUCUGAGAGGAGGAGCCCGGAGAUGGGCACUGAGACAAGGGCCCAGGCCCUAUGGGGCGCAGCAGGCGCGAAACCUCUGCAAUAGGCGAAAGCUUGACAGGGUUACUCUGAGUGAUUUCCGUUAAGGAGAUCUUUUGGCACCUCUAAAAAUGGUGCAGAAUAAGGGGUGGGCAAGUCUGGUGUCAGCCGCCGCGGUAAUACCAGCACCCCGAGUGGUCGGGACGUUUAUUGGGCCUAAAGCAUCCGUAGCCGGUUCUACAAGUCUUCCGUUAAAUCCACCUGCUUAACAGAUGGGCUGCGGAAGAUACUAUAGAGCUAGGAGGCGGGAGAGGCAAGCGGUACUCGAUGGGUAGGGGUAAAAUCCGUUGAUCCAUUGAAGACCACCAGUGGCGAAGGCGGCUUGCCAGAACGCGCUCGACGGUGAGGGAUGAAAGCUGGGGGAGCAAACCGGAUUAGAUACCCGGGUAGUCCCAGCUGUAAACGAUGCAGACUCGGUGAUGAGUUGGCUUAUUGCUAACUCAGUGCCGCAGGGAAGCCGUUAAGUUUGCCGCCUGGGGAGUACGGUCGCAAGACUGAAACUUUAAGGAAUUGGCGGGGGAGCA